Long non-coding RNA from Brassica napus (rape), 2440 nucleotides. RefSeq lists it as uncharacterized. The record is from RefSeq and is a predicted model, not a curated record. NCBI's taxonomy places the organism in Eukaryota, Viridiplantae, Streptophyta, Magnoliopsida, Brassicales, Brassicaceae. The transcript is spliced from 3 exons.
AAGUCACAACCUUGUAGUCUCUUACAUGCUUGAGGGAUACGUUUAAGCUUUACCAUAAUUUGAUAGGGAAAUUGCCACUAAUACCACUUUCAUAAUACCACUUUUCAACUUUACACUUUUCAACUUUACCACUAAAAUUUUAAUGACUAAAGUACCAUUAUACCCUUAUUUAAUCAAACAUAAACAUAUGCCUUCUUCAAAGUCAAAUUUUCCAAAUCUCAGAUUCUUCACGUUGACCAAUUCCGGCGAGAUCUGACGAUGCUGACGAGUUUCCGGCAAGAUCUGACGACGUUGACGAGUUUCCGGCGAGAUUUGACAGAAUCUACAAGCUCAGACGAACGAGACGAUAUCUCUCAGAAUCUGGUGAAGAUCCGACGGCUCCGAGAGCUCGUAAUGUGUCGAGCAGCUUAAGCCUUUGGUGAUCAAACGCCUCCUCUUACGAGUCCGCCGCCGUAUAUUGACAUCUUCGAUUCGCCUCAGCUCAUGUCUUCGCCUGCUCAGAGCUAAUGUAUCUUCAGUGGCUGGAUCCCAAGGAGCCUGUAUACAUUUACAUCAACUCCACAGGGACUACUCGUGACUAUGGCGAGACUCAAUGAUCCAGCAGCCUCGUGUGCCUUCUUCUGGGUUGAUGGCUGCCAGUGAUGUCCUGAUUCGUGCCAAAAACGUUUGUUACUCCCUCUGUACACAUUGUAUUCUGGAAAUCUAAUUUCAACUGAGAUAUGUUCAUGAUGUGCUUAUAAGUUCAUACCUAUGCUUCUCACUUGAGCAUUUGGCUAGGAAUUUCAAACUUGAGGUGAAGAAAAAUUUAAUUUCAGUACAUAUCUCACGUUCCUGGUUGCAAUUACAGGUUAUAACAAACAGGGAUAUACUUGUGGGACUACUAUCAAAGCACACUGGGAACCUUUAUAAGCUCUUAUAAAAUUUAUUAAUGGUUCAUAAAUGGUUUUAUAAACCUUUAGAAAUAGUUAUAUAAAUAUUUAUAUGGUUUUAUAAACCUUUAUAAUUUUUAUAAACCCUAUAUAAACUCUUCAAAACCUAUUAAAACCUUUUAUAAACCCUUACAAAUCUUAUAUAAACCCGUUAUAAACCCUUAUAAUUUCUAUAUAAAUCUUUACAAACACCUGUAAGUGAUUUUGUAAACCCUUUUAUAAAUUCUUAUAAAUCAUUAUAAACAUUUUAAACAUUUUGUGAUGACUUGAAAACAAAACUUAUGGGAGCUACAAAGCAGUUUCAAGAUGUUCUUACUGUGAGAUCAGGUUAUUUGAAUUGCUUGUCAAUGGUCUUCCAGCUCGAGCUGAGAUCACAUAUGCUGCAAAUGGCAGAAGUUCAAAAAUAUUUCACCAAAAGUUAUAAGCAUUAUCCUGCUAAACCUGGAAGACCAUUGACAAGAGCUUUCAAAAUCUGUGAAAUCAAAUGAGCAACCAGCUGGCCCUGUUUCUUCUUCUUCUUCUUCUACAACAGCAACAACCACCAAUUAUGAAAGCUCUUUGUCCACUCCUAUGAUCAGUGAAAAGCUUAAGAUGUAUUCUCACCUCAAGCAGUUUACUUUCCUUGAUCUCAAUUUGGUUACUAGAAAUUUCAGACCCGAAAGUCUUCUCGGAGAAGGUGGCUUUGGUUGUGUCUUUAAAGGAUGGGUGGGGGAGAACGGAACUGCUCCUGUUAAGCCUAGCACUGGCGUUACUGUUGCUGUCAAAACCUUGAAUCUUGAUGGCCUUCAGGUCAUAAAGAGUGGCUUGUAUGAUCCUUUAUAAACACUUCUAAAUUGAUUUAUAAACACUUCUAAAUUGAUUUAUACUCUUAUAAAUUGUGUUAUGAAUAUUAUUAAAUUCUUAUAAUCCUUGGAAUAAACCCUGAUAAAUAGAUUUAUAACCUUUUAUAAAUAGAUUUAUAAACCUUGUAAAUUAAUUUAUAAACAGUUACAAAUAAAUGUAUAAACUCUUAUAAAUAGCUUAUAAGUUCUUGUAAAUAGUUUUAUAAACCUUUUAAAUAGUUUUAUAAACCUUUAUAAAUAGAUAUAUAAAUAUUUAUAUGUGUUUUAUAAAUUUUAUAGAUGGUUGAUACAAAGUUUUAUAAGCUCUUAUAAAAUUUAUAAAUGGUUCAUAAAUGGUAACCUUUAUAAAUAGUUAUAUAAAUACUUAUAUGUGUUUUAUAAACUUUAUAGAUGGUCGAUUAUGAUCCAGCUACUUUUGAUCUGACGGAGCACGGUAGUCCACCGACAAAGAUGAUGUAGUCCACCCAUGGAGGCAGUUUAAAACUCGUCGACGAGAUCUCGUCUCUCACCAUGAAUAGAAAUAGAUUAGAGGAUAUAAUUGUCUUUUGUUUCCUUACAGUUUAGGUGCUUUUAAAAAUGGACAUCUUAAUAGUGUAAACAUGAACAAGUGUACUUCAGAUGUGCUAGUUUGCAAUUUUCCCUCUUAUAAAUGAAUUAUACUUUAAACGA